UGUUAAAAUUCCAUCAAUUUCUACUAUUAAAAACUAGCUUAGUUAAUGGAAUAAUCAGGCAGUUACACGUGACGUGCCAUGUAUACCUCAUAGUGAUAUACAGAGACUAGUUUUUAACGGUAGAAAUAAGUGAACUUUUAAACC
Molecule: non-coding RNA, 144 nt
Organism: Gossypium raimondii (Peruvian cotton)
Lineage: Eukaryota; Viridiplantae; Streptophyta; Magnoliopsida; Malvales; Malvaceae
Source: Rfam